This 226-nucleotide ribosomal RNA is filed under the name Ectatomma tuberculatum. Its description in RNAcentral is "partial large subunit ribosomal RNA". The record is from RNAcentral. Lineage: Eukaryota; Metazoa; Arthropoda; Insecta; Hymenoptera; Formicidae.
GAAUUUUAUAUAUAAUAUUAUAAAUAUAAAUAUAUUUAUAAAUAGUGAAAUUUUUAUUAUAAUUUUAUAUAUUUUAUUGGGAGGAUAAUUAAAUUAAUAAAACUUUAUAUUAAUAAUACAUUAAUUUAUGAAAUAUUAUGAAUAUUAUUUUAUAUUAUUAGAAUUAAUUACCUUAGGGAUAACAGCGUUAUAUUUUUAGAAAGAUCAUAUUGAUAAAAAUUAUUGC